AGAGGGAAACAACCCAGACUACCAGCUAAGGUCCCUAAAUCUUACUUAAGUGGAAAACGAUGUGAAGUUACUUAAACAACCAGGAGGUUGGCUUAGAAGCAGCCAUCCUUUAAAGAAAGCGUAAUAGCUCACUGGUCUAGUGAUUUUGCGCGGAAAAUAUAACGGGGCUAAAGUAAGUACCGAAGCUGUAGACUUAGUUUACUAAGUGGUAGGAGAGCGUUCUAUUUGCGUCGAAGGUAUACCGGUAAGGAGUGCUGGAGCGAAUAGAAGUGAGCAUGCAGGCAUGAGUAGCGAUAAUUAAUGUGAGAAUCAUUAACGCCGUAAACCCAAGGUUUCCUACGCGAUGCUCGUCAUCGUAGGGUUAGUCGGGUCCUAAGUCGAGUCCGAAAGGGGUAGACGAUGGCAAAUUGGUUAAUAUUCCAAUACCAACAUUAGUGUGCGAUGGAAGGACGCUUAGGGCUAAGGGGGCUAGCGGAUGGAAGUGCUAGUCUAAGGUCGUAGGAGGUUAUACAGGCAAAUCCGUAUAACAAUACUCCGAGAACUGAAAGGCUUUUUGAAGUCUUCGGAUGGAUAGAAGAACCCCUGAUGCCAUCGAGCCAAGAAAAGUUUCUAAGUUUAGCUAAUGUUGCCCGUACCGUAAACCGACACAGGUGGGUGGGAUGAGUAUUCUAAGGCGCGUGGAAGAACUCUCUUUAAGGAACUCUGCAAAAUAGCACCGUAUCUUCGGUAUAAGGUGUGGUUCGCUUCGUAUUAGGAUUUACUCCGAAAGCGAAGAAACUUACAACAAAGAGUCCCUCCCGACUGUUUACCAAAAACACAGCACUCUGCUAACUCGUAAGAGGAUGUAUAGGGUGUGACGCCUGCCCGGUGCUCGAAGGUUAAUUGAUGGGGUUAGCAUUAGCGAAGCUCUUGAUCGAAGCCCGAGUAAACGGCGGCCGUAACUAUAACGGUCCUAAGGUAGCGAAAUUCCUUGUCGGUUAAAUACCGACCUGCAUGAAUGGCGUAACGAGAUGGGAGCUGUCUCAAAGAGGGAUCCAGUGAAAUUGUAGUGGAGGUGAAAAUUCCUCCUACCCGCGGCAAGACGGAAAGACCCCGUGGACCUUUACUACAGCUUGACACUGCUAUUUGGAUAAGAAUGUGCAGGAUAGGUGGGAGGCUUUGAGUAUAUGACGCCAGUUGUAUAUGAGCCAUUGUUGAGAUACCACUCUUUCUUAUUUGGGUAGCUAACCAGCUUGAGUUAUCCUCAAGUGGGACAAUGUCUGGUGGGUAGUUUGACUGGGGCGGUCGCCUCCCAAAUAAUAACGGAGGCUUACAAAGGUUGGCUCAGAACGGUUGGAAAUCGUUCGUAGAGUAUAAAGGUAUAAGCCAGCUUAACUGCAAGACAUACA
Molecule: ribosomal RNA, 1388 nt
Filed under: Campylobacter coli
Lineage: Bacteria; Pseudomonadati; Campylobacterota; Epsilonproteobacteria; Campylobacterales; Campylobacteraceae
Description: partial 23S ribosomal RNA
Rfam family: Bacterial large subunit ribosomal RNA
Source: RNAcentral